This 199-nucleotide ribosomal RNA is filed under the name Porphyromonas canoris. RNAcentral describes it as "partial 23S ribosomal RNA". It matches the Rfam family "Bacterial large subunit ribosomal RNA", at positions 2717 to 2925 of the family's 2925-position model. The record is from RNAcentral. Lineage: Bacteria; Pseudomonadati; Bacteroidota; Bacteroidia; Bacteroidales; Porphyromonadaceae.
UCAGUUGUAUCGCCAGGUGCAUAGCUGAGUAUCCACGUACGGGAAGAAUAAGUGCUGAAAGCAUCUAAGCACGAAGUCGACCUCAAGAUUAGAUAUCCAUAAUUUAGGGACGUUACAGACGAUGACGUAGAUAGGCCACAGGUGCAAGUGCAGUAAUGUAUUCAGCCGAGUGGUACUAAUCUCCCGAACGCUUAUAUUU